Molecule: long non-coding RNA, 2234 nt
Organism: Ursus maritimus (polar bear)
Lineage: Eukaryota; Metazoa; Chordata; Mammalia; Carnivora; Ursidae
Source: Ensembl
GGCGGGUUGGGGGGGUCUGGCAGGGUGGCUCUGAGGUCCCCUAGCUGCUGCAGACGCAGCCUGUGCCGCAGUGUGCAGUUGCCGCUGCGUGUAGCGCCCUCUGGUGGCCAUGAACAGUACAUGCAUCUGGUCCUUUCUGCAGAGCUGAUUUCCACUCUGUUGGAGGUCUAGAGGAACUGCUGGGCGUGGGAGCUGAUUUCACAGCCAAGACAAGAGAACUUAGGCCAGACUAUUAUUCCAUGCCGGUUAUUAAGUCCUUCCUAUAUGCCAGCCACCUGGCAGAGUGAGUUGGGCUCCCAUGGCAUCCUUGCACCCAUCACCGGAUUUCUGCAAGUCUGUCUCCCCUGCCAGUCAGCAAGCCGUGGGAAGGAGGCAGCCACCACGUCUCCUUGAAGGCACAGUGCCCAGUACUCCCGCACUUGUCCUCUCUGAGCUCAGGGGCACAGGAGGGAGACACAGUCCUGGGAAAUAAGGCUGAUGAAUGCAGCUCUGAAGACAGGCCAGGCCUGAAGAUAGAGCGCCCAGGGAUCCAGCUGGAGGCAGGGCCAGGAAGCGGCUCAGCUGCCUGGAGCACAGGCGCAAGGAGCGGGUUGAGAAAACUGCUCAGGACCUUGACCCGCUCCAGGCCAGCUGGCUCACGUGAUUGAGCUGAUACAGAUGGGAGCCCUCCGAGAAGCCCGCUCUACAAUACGAACUGUCCCUCUAACAGACGGAAGGCUGGGACAUUGAGAGUCCUAAUAGAGAAGAAAAACACGGCGACGAUGCUGAGAUUGGUCUGCUGAAAGCAACAUUUAGUGCGUGCGACGGGAUAAGCCCUAUUCUAGAGGCUUUACAUCCCGGCCCCACGGUACGAGCUCACGGGCGAGGAACUGAGUCACAGCUAAAACACGGCAAGCCCGGGAUUGGGCCCUGGACGCGUCGGCGCCAGCGGGCUGGGCUGCACUUCAAGUGCUGCGGCUCUGCCUUCGGCUGUUCACAGCAGGGGCGAGCAGACUUGCUGUACAGGAGCCAAGGCCCAGACCUCCACAGAGGAGUUCCUUGGAGGCAGCAGGAGUUAAUCUCGGAAGGCUUCCUGCAGGAGGCAGCCCUCAGGUUGGGCUCCCCUCAGCAUGCCCUACAGGUCUGGAAGGUCCGCUGGACUGAAGCCAUGAUCCUAAGACCAGGAAGCAAGCCCAGAGGGCUGGCACCAGCCUACCGGUCGAAGCAGGCAGCAGAAUGGAAGAGUGAUUUGUGAAGUCAGACCUCUUGAGUUCCGUCCCAGCCUCACCGCUUACCAGCUAAAUGACCCUGGACAGCGACUUGUCCUCUCUGAGUAUCUUCAUCUCUAAAAUAGAGAUCAUGGCAUCUUUCCCCCAAGGUGGUGCCAGGGAGUCAAUCAAAGGACCUAAGGACAGCUGUCAGCCCGGUGCUUGGGCCCACGUUCCAUGCCUCCCUGACCUGCUUCCUGUGGACUGGAAGGGGCUGUGCUACCAUAGGGGGCUGGCGGGUUGGUGGGGGACCAAGCAUCUGCAGAGGUGACAGUCAUGCAAGGAAGGAGAGCCACUGCUCUGGGAGUGACACCUGAGAAGGGAGCUCACGGAGUCUUCUAAGCUCAUGAGUUGUGGUGGGAAAAACGAAGAGACCGCCCCUCCCGGACCUUCAGCGCCUCGGUCCGGUCCGUGUGUUGGGGGCUGGGAGAGGGGGGCGCACCGAUGCACCCGGUCAUAAACUCUUCCUUUCAGUGACUGUAGUCACAGCGUGCAGGAAGUGACAACUUCGAGUCACUGGCAGCUCACUCCCAGGAAGGCAAGGCAUGGCCCCCAAGCGGGAAACCCGACUAAAGGGCAAAGGAGUGGUCUUUAGGGGUUUGAUCUGCCCCCAGGGAGGGAUCAAGGGGGCACUCCAGCUGUUCUUUUGUGGCCAAAAAUAAGAAACGGUGACCUCUUUAGGGCUGGAGAGAGCUAGCAGUGAUUAAACAGCUAGGUUAAGCUAGCUGGCUGUUCACUGUAACUCAUGGCAUCCUGACCGUCCUGUGACUAGUUCCACUGUCCCACGCACCAAAUUAGAAACUGAAGCUCAGAAGGUUUAAACAACUUGGCCAAGUUUACAGAGCUAGCAAGUGUCCGAGGUGGGAAUUGGGUCUAUGUUCUUUUUCUCACACAGCACCGCCAAACCAAGACAGACCUCUCAGGGCGGGACCCACACCCCGCGCCCUUGCACAACGGGUGUUAUGUUUCUUUUUCUUUCUUUCCUUC